RNAcentral lists this long non-coding RNA (268 nucleotides) under Panax ginseng (ginseng). RNAcentral describes it as "long non-coding RNA (PGIN_LNC011186)". Lineage: Eukaryota; Viridiplantae; Streptophyta; Magnoliopsida; Apiales; Araliaceae. The record is from RNAcentral.
GGGCAGGAUAGUCAAGUAGGAAAGGAAUGUUCGGCUUACGGCUUCUUUCUCUCUUCUAACUCUAAUAUUAUAUUAUGAAUCAAACUAACCCUUGGCUUUCUUCUCCUCGUUUUCAUUGGGUUACGAAAGAGCUAAGAUUCGGCUAGCUUUUAGCUUGGAGUGGAGUAGCAUUAGGAGCAUUUUGAUUUUGAUGUAGAAUUUGAAGCAUAACGAUGAGUCUCAUCCCAUCAAUGCAAGUGUAGCCACAUUUCAACCAACUAAUUUUGUC